CCUACGGGGGGCAGCAGUGGGGAAUAUUGCACAAUGGGCGCAAGCCUGAUGCAGCCAUGCCGCGUGUGUGAAGAAGGCCUUCGGGUUGUAAAGCACUUUCAGCGGGGAGGAAGGCGUUAAGGUUAAUAACCUUGUCGAUUGACGUUACCCGCAGAAGAAGCACCGGCUAACUCCGUGCCAGCAGCCGCGGUAAUACGGAGGGUGCAAGCGUCAAUCGGAAUUACUGGGCGUAAAGCGCACGCAGGCGGUCUGUCAAGUCGGAUGUGAAAUCCCCGGGCUCAACCUGGGAACUGCAUUCGAAACUGGCAGGCUAGAGUCUUGUAGAGGGGGGUAGAAUUCCAGGUGUAGCGGUGAAAUGCGUAGAGAUCGGGAGGAAUACCAGUGGCGAAGGCGGCCCCCUGGACAAAGACUGACGCUGAGGUGCGAAAGCGUGGGGAGCAAACAGGAUUAGAUACCCUAGUAGUC
Molecule: ribosomal RNA, 465 nt
Filed under: uncultured Klebsiella sp.
Lineage: Bacteria; Pseudomonadati; Pseudomonadota; Gammaproteobacteria; Enterobacterales; Enterobacteriaceae
Description: bacterial SSU rRNA
Rfam family: Bacterial small subunit ribosomal RNA
Source: RNAcentral